RNAcentral lists this ribosomal RNA (237 nucleotides) under uncultured bacterium. Its description in RNAcentral is "partial 16S ribosomal RNA". It matches the Rfam family "Bacterial small subunit ribosomal RNA", at positions 524 to 758 of the family's 1533-position model. The record is from RNAcentral.
CACGUAGGGUGCGAGCGUUGUCCGGAAUUAUUGGGCGUAAAGAGCUCGUAGGCGGUGUGUCGCGUCGGCCGUGAAAACCUGCAGCUUAACUGUGGGCUUGCGGUCGAUACGGGCAUCACUGGAGUUCGGCAGGGGAGACUGGAAUUCCUGGUGUAGCGGUGAAAUGCGCAGAUAUCAGGAGGAACACCGGUGGCGAAGGCGGGUCUCUGGGCCGAUACUGACGCUGGAGGAGCGAAA